Long non-coding RNA from Gorilla gorilla gorilla (western lowland gorilla), 5119 nucleotides. RefSeq lists it as uncharacterized. The transcript is spliced from 3 exons. NCBI's taxonomy places the organism in Eukaryota, Metazoa, Chordata, Mammalia, Primates, Hominidae. The record is from RefSeq and is a predicted model, not a curated record.
UGAUAGUUUCAAGUAUGCAUGUUGUCUGCUGAGACCUCAGAAUUUUGAGAAUGUUUUAAUCAUGUUCUUGUUUUGUUUCCUGGUUUGCUUAGCCAUAUCUGAAUAAAUAUGUUCCGUAUUUCUGAGAAUACAUCCAGUUAUAUCACAAGAUCUUUGGGGUGUUACUUCACCAGCUGGAAACCUCUGUGGCUGGUGGUACCUUCGCCCAAGUUUUUGCUCUGGCCUGCUGGGCUUGUUCUGCCUACUGGGUCUGGCAGGCUGCACUUGGCUUUUGCUACUGGCCGGGAUCCCACACCUGCCAAAAGCAAGCCAGGCACGAAGUGGUGAAAAAUGCGUGGGCAAGCAAGUGCUGGGUCCAUCCGCUGCACACAGCCAGGCUCGCCAGCUGCUGUGGCGGGUGGGUAGCUCCAGGAGCCAGCACAGGUGCCAGCUCCGUGAAAGACUGAGGCUGGACCAGAUGUACAGCAUGCAGGCUGCGGGUACCCUGUCUGGACAAGGGGAGCACGGUGAUGCCUGGAAGUUUAGUGAUGCCAGGAACCACAGAGCCCCAAAGAGGGAGUCACAAACCUGGCUCAGGGAGCCCCGAGAUCUGGGCUCCCCAAAAAGCCGCAGCUCUUCUCUCCUUCUCCUCACAUGCAAAGUGACAAUCAGGGGCGUGUGUUUCAGCCCUGUUUGUGGUUACAGCUCUUUUAGUCCCGCUGUGUCCGGAAAUGGUGGGUUCUUGGUCUCACUGACUUCAAGAAUGAAGCCGCGGACCCUCGCGGUGAGUGUUACAGCUCUUAAGGUGGCGCGUCUGGAGUUUGUUCCUCCUGAUGUUCGGAUGUGUUCCGAGUUUCUUCCUUCUGGUGGAUUCGUGGUCUCGCGGGCUCAGGAGUGAAACUGCAGACCUUCGCGGUGUUACAGCUCAUAAAGGCAGUGUGCACCCAGAGUGAGCAGCAGCAGGAUUUACGGAGAGGGUGGGAGGCUCAGGCAUGGCGGGCUGCAGGUCCUGAGCCCUUUCCCGCGGGAAGGCAGCUAAGGCCCGGCGAGAAAUUGAGCGCAGCGCCAGUGGACCGGCAGUGCUGGGGGACCCAGUACACCCUCCGCAGCCGCUGGCCCGGGUGCUAAGCCCCUCAUUGCCCGGAGCCGGCAGAGCCGGCCGGCUGCUCCGAGUGCGGGGCCCGCCAAGCCCACGCCCACCCGAAACUCCAGCUGGCCCGGAAGCGCCGCGCGCAGCCCCGGUUCCGGCUCGCGCCUCUCCCUUCACACCUCCCUGCAAGCUGAGGGAGCCGGCUCUGGCCUCGGCCAGCCCAGGAAGGGGCUCCCACAGUGCAGCGGGGGGCUGAAGGGCUCCUCAAGUGCCGCCAAAGUGGGAGCCCAGGCAGAGGAGGCGCCGAGAGCGAGCGAGGGCUGUGAGGACUGCCAGCACGCUGACACCUCUCACCGCCAUUUGCCAGGUCCAGAGUUCUUGUCCUACAUCCAGGAAGAAUGAAGUACGUGGACAACUGGAGAGACUGAUUCCUUAUCCAACAUCACUUUCUGGACUACCUAGAAUCCAACUAUCAUGUCUUUCACCAAGAUGUCAUCUUGUGGGCUAGUCCGUUGGACCUACUUGACCACUCAGACACUAUCCUAAUCUCCAUAAUGUGAUACCUCCUGAGAGGCAGCCAUUUGACACAGACACCUUUCUCAGUUUGCUCAGGCUCCAACGCCAUGAUCUGCCAUGCAACUCUCUCCACAGUCUCCAUCAUGGAUACCUGCCUUUUAUUCCAACACCUAAUGUUUUAGUAUUAAAUCAUUCCAUAUGAUAAGAGUAGAGAGGUGAAAGAGGAAGACUCAUUCAACGGAAGUUGAUCUGCUGUGUUUUCACAAUUAUUCCAUACAUAACAUUUUCUAAUAUCUUUGUUACUUCUUUUUUUGACUCAGUUACAUAGAAAUAUUUUUCUUAAUUUCCAAAUAUAUGAGGAUAUUCCUUAUAAUUUUGCUAUUGAUCUUUAAUCUCAUUCCAUUGAUUUUAAAGAUUGUUCUCUUUAAGACUGCAAUACAUUGAAUUUGUUAGGCCUUUCUAUUGCCUAUCAUAUGGUCACAUUUGGUGAAUUUUCAAUGUGCUCUUGAGGGAAAAAAAAGUGUAUUCUAGAGUUGAUUCGUUUAAUGCAGUAUAAAUAACAUUAUGUUAUGUUAUUUUAAUUUUUCUGAAUACUUAGUGAUUUUUAAAAAACCAUCCAUACCGAUUUCCGAGGAGUAUUAAAACCUCCACUAGUAAUUGUGGAUGUGCCUAUAUCUGUUUUUAGUUGUCUCCAAUUUUGAAUUUUUUAUCUUUAGUAUGGAAAAAUAUGCAUUUUUAUUUCUUUUUAAAAAAUUAAUUAUUUAUUAUAAAAUAUCCGUUUUUAUUAAUGGCAAAUAUCUUUGUCUUGAUGCCUACUUUAUCUGAUAUUCAGAAAAACCAGACUGGCUUCUUUAUGCUUAAUAUUUCAAAAUAUAUCUUUUCUACCCUUUUACUUUCAUCUUCCCAGUGUCUUCAUAUUUAAAGAAAUUAAAAAGUAAGAAAUGUAUAUGUAUAUACAUAUAAUACAUAUUUCCACUUAUAGUGAACAUUUGUUAACAUUUUCAGUGCUUUGUUUCAUUAUUGUGUUUGUUUCUGUUGACUAUAUUUUUCUUUUGGUUAUAUGUCUCAUUUAUCUUCUUUUUUCCAUAUCUCAAUUUUGUUUGUCUAUGCUGGCAUUGGAGGUUCUAAAUUGUUGAGAGUCUGGAUUUAAUUUUAUUUCUUUAGAGAGUUUUGAAAUUUGUUCUAGAAGACACUCAAUUAAUUUAGUGGUGAAUUAGCUCUGUCUUGUGAAGGCUUAUGUUUAGCUCUGACACUGCUGGUCUAAAGCACCGCACUUAAAACGAGACCUUCCUGGGACCACAAUUGAUUGUCUAGAUAAUGAGUGAGGUUGUUCUCUAGCUGACUUUAGGUAUAAUGUCUCUGAUCACCGUGAGACUCUAGAAUCUUUACAUACCUCACAACCUUUUAGUAGGCUGUUCGCCGAGCUGAUAUCUGUUAUCUCCCAUACUUUAUGGAGUUUCACAUUGAAUAUUUUCAAUUUAAUAAUGGACCAAAGAGUCAAAAAGACCUAUUCAAACUUUUGGAGCUUCUUUUUUUCAUAGUUAUCUCAUCUCUGGUACUCUGCCCUGCAAAUUCCAGCUACAUCAGCAAACCAGAAUGCAGCUCUCUUUUAUGUUGUUCUGUUUUAAACGUAUUUGUCUGUACUGAAGUUUAGAAAACGACUCCAUGUGGACAACCAGGGUAAUUGUGGCACUCACCUAAAACGUUUCUCUUAUUUCAACGAUAGUGCUUUUAUGAUCUUUGUUGUGUAAUGUACAAAAAAAAGUUUAAUGUCAUCUACCAUGUUUUAUAAAUGUAUGCGAUGUGAGAGUGAGGACGACACCCUCUACUCUUGUCCUUGCUGGAAUUGGAAGUCAACCAUUAAGUCUUAAUUAAGCCUUUCUCUUCAGCUUUCUUGUCUUCCCUCCUUAUAUUAUCUCUCUAUGCGAUGUCAUUCUUCAAUAAAUCACAUCUCAAUCUAACUUCAGUCUUAAUUACAGCCUUGAGUUAUUGAACCCUAUAUCUAGGUUUUUACUGAAAAUUUCCACUUGCAUUGUCUACCAGAAAAUCAAACAUAACAUGUUGAUUCCAAAAUUAUUGCCUUUUCCACUGAUUUCAUUGUCCUACUUCAGUUCAUUUUAUUAUUGACUUCUCCUUCAAUCCAACUAAAAUCUCUGAGAUCAAAAUAUAAUCCAUCUCUCAUAGUCCCUGAUGACAACACAUUUUCAAGUAUUAUUAAUUUUUUUCUUUGUGAUAUAUUUCACAUCUGCUAUUAUAGUUGUUAGGAGACUUUAAUUAUAUGUAACAAACACACUGACACUAAUGUGGUGGAAAUUUCCUCAAAGUUAUAUGUUGUUUAAUGUAAUAAAAUACCAGGAAUGCAUUCAUAGUUAGAAAAUGGGGUAAAAUAUUGAAGGAGAAUGUAGUCCAAACCCUUUACUUUCACAUGCACAUACACACACACACACAAACACACACACAUGCACAGACACAUAAAUAUAUAUACACACAUACAUAUUUACUCUUCUUUGAUUGUCUGCUUCAUUUCUUUUACUACACAUGAUCUUUCUUUACUCCACUUUUCAAGUGGAAUAAAAUGGCCAUCCAGAAAACCAAAGUUUACACAGCAACAUUAAAAGGACAGAAUUAUAAACAAAUGUGUUAGCCCAAGUCUAAGUUCAUAAGAAAGAAUGCCAUUAACCUAGAUUAUAUAGUAUUAUCUCUACAGGUAAAGGUCUGGAAGAAGGCCAAUAUUGCUCGGAUUGGCUACCAAAAGUCAUCUUUGUACAUGCAUAGCAGUGUUGGGUAGGAUAUUAUAUUGUAAUAGGUAGAAAAUUAAUAGGUAUCUAUGACUUUUUACCUCCUAAAUGCUCACAAUAUACAUAUAAACGUUUUCCAUAUUGUCAAAUAAAUCUUCAACCAAUUUUCUCAUAUAGAAGAAACUUCCAUUUUAAAACUUCUUGCAAUCUAUCAAGUGAUAUAGUUCCUGAGAUCAAAACUGAUUAAAAAAAAAACAAAGCUGAAGUUGAGUAAAUUUUCAAAUGAAACGCCAGUCAUUCAUUACAGGCAUACUGUGGCAAUAGUGUCAAUAUUGUAGUUUCAGUGCCAGACCACUGCAGUAAAGCGAAUAUGGAAAUAAAAUGAAUCAGACAAAUAUUUUUUAUUUCCCAGUGCAUAUGAAAGUCAUGUUUACACUAUACUGUGGUUUAUUAAGUGUGCAGUAACAUGAUAUCUUAAAAAGUGUACAUUUUAAUAAAAAAUACUUCAUUGGUAAAAGAUGCUGACAUAGAGACACAAAAUGAGCCCAAGCUGUGUAAAAAUAAUGCCAAUAUACUUGUUCAAUGCAGGAUUGCCAUAAACCUUCAAUUUGUAAAAAGCACAAUGUCAGCAAAAUGCAAUAACGUGAACCACUGUAGAGUGAGGUAUGCCUAUGUUUGUGACUUUGGGGGAAGUAGUUAAUAUUGCUAAGGUUAACAUUUCUUCAAUGUCUGGUUAAUAUAGUACUUAUCUCACAAGCUUGUUAUGAGAGUAUACAAUGAAGAAAGUGCUGAAUAC